This 2466-nucleotide long non-coding RNA is filed under the name Betta splendens (Siamese fighting fish). RNAcentral's name for it is "lncRNA (ENSBSLG00000018009.1)". Lineage: Eukaryota; Metazoa; Chordata; Actinopteri; Anabantiformes; Osphronemidae. The record is from RNAcentral.
AUGGCUGGUUUAUAUCCACCUGCUAAUAGUCAAGAUGAAUUAUCCAUCGCUCAUCUGAACAUAGAUGGUCUCAGGAACAAGGUUCCUGACAUUUAUUAUAUUUUAACUUCUGGUCAGAUCCAUGUGCUGGCUCUCUCUGAAACCCAUUUGGACCCUAGUGUUGAGGACACAGAGCUGCACAUCAGAGGCUACAAGUUGUACAGGAGGGACAGAGACAGUUGUGGAGGUGGAGUAGCUCUGUAUGUCCAGACUCAGAUUCCAUGUAACAAACGAGAUGACCUUGAGGUCGUUAAAACAGAGAUCGUGUGGGUCGAGAUUCAUCUGUCUGGCAGACCCAUCUUGGUGGGUUCUUGUUACAGGCCACCACAUGUCAAGGACCGAUAUCUGGAUAGAGUCAAGGAAAAAGUGAAUGUGUCUCAACAAAACAAGGACAUAGACAUUUUCUUACUGGGAGACUUCAAUCAGGAUUUGAUUGUUUCCCGAAGCUAUCACCGUAGUUUUGACAUCUGCCAUGAUCUUACACUCACCCAGGUUAUAACGGAACCUACAAGAGUGACGCUUCGGAAAAAUGGCCAACUGACCUCAACAUGUAUUGAUCACAUCUAUACAAAUGUCCCAGAGGCUCAGUGUAGACUUACCUCAAUACCUACGGGUUGCAGUGAUCACAACAUUGUUGGCGUCACUGUGAAAAGAAAAGUACCCAAGGCUCAAGGGGAGAUAAUCACCAAGAGGUUGAUCCGUGAGUCUAAUAAAGAGAGGUUUUUUAAGGAGAUCCAGGAUGUGUGUUGGGGCAACGUCUAUAAUAAAUCUGAACCUGAACCUGCUUUGGAUAGUUUCAUUAAGACUUUUUGUGAAACAGUUGACAAAUAUGCUUCGUUAGAAGACGAUGCAUUUGCGCCAUGGUUUGAGAAAGUUAAACCCUUAAUGAAAGAAAGAGAUGACGCCAAAGCUCAGGCUCAAGCAUCAAACGCUCCUGAACAUUGGGAAAAGUUUCGUAAGUUAAAAAAAGAAACUUCUAAGGAAAACACAGGUAAAAGGACAAAGCACUUUCAACAGAGACUCCGUGGAGCUAAUAAUGAUCCUAACAAAGUUCUUAAAAUAUUAAAAGAGUUUCUGGGACGAGAUGUCGUUUAUCCAGUGACAAUCAUAAAAUCUGAGGGACGUCUGAUCACAGAAGCAGAAGAAGUGACCAAUCACUUCAAAGAUUAUUAUAUUACAGAAAAUGAAAAAGUCCGAUCAGGAUUAGCUGAGGGUGAAGGUCUGUCUGUGUCCUGUUCUCUUAUAAAGGAGAGAAUCAUAAAAGACAAACGAUGCUCCUUCUGUUUUAAAACAGUUGCUAUUCGCAGGGUUAAACAAGUGUUGUCCUCACUUGAAGACCUUCCUGCAGGGUUGGAUAAGCUGGAUGCAUGCAUUCUAAAGGCUGCUGUCAAGCAGCCUUUAGAAUGCAUAGCAUCUGCUGCUAAGCACCCUUCAAGAUGCAUGCAUGGAGGCUCAGCCAUCUCUGCUCCAGUGUGUCACAUAGUGAACAUGAGCCUUCUCAGUGGCGUGUUUCCACCACAGUGGAAGGAAGCCAUGGUUGUCCCAGUUCUAAAGAACCACGGUGAAAACUACAGAGCAGAGAACAGCAGAGCUGUUACUGUACUUCCAGUUUUGAGUCAGGUCCUGGAGAAAAUGAUGCUGCAGCAGAUUGAGCAGUACUUUGUAGAGAACCAGCUGUUCACUCAGGACCAGUGUUGUCUAGAGAAGAUGAUGGAACACUGGCUACAAGAGCUUGACAACAGCAGACAUGUAGGAUUGCUGUUCCUGGACCUCAGUGCCUCUCUGGAUCUCAUCAAUCACAAUAUGUUGCUGGAGAAACUGAAAGUGUAUGGUUUUACAGAUGAGUCCCUUUGCCUGAUCAAAAGUUACUUGUCCAAAAGGAAACAAGUAGUCUGCUGCAACAACAGCUUCUCUGUGUUUGAGAGUGUGGACUGUGGCUUACCACAAGGCAGCUGCCUGGGGCCUCUCCUGUUUAGCAUCUAUGCUAAUGACUUGCUGCUUGCCUUAGAAGCAUCAUCUGCCGUUAUGUGUGGCCAUCAAAUGCUAGUUUAUUACUCAGCUCAGCAUCAUAACAAGAUAAACCGGGUGUUGGGAAGCAAGUUAAAAUCUGCAUUGGACUGGGUCUGUGACAACGAGAUGACUUUGAAUGUUUCUAAUUCUGUGAUAAUUAGUGACAAAGAGAAACUGUCUAGUAUUUGUCAACUUAUUUCUGAUGUGAAAGAUCUCAAAGAGAUUAAUCAAAUCAAAUUAUUAUCAGCUAGACUUCAUCAGUCGCCAUCCUGGUCCCUGUACUAUGACAAUAUAACCAACAAAAUACAGAAAGUUAUGACUGAGAAAAUGUUUGAUGAUGAGGGCUUUCAAAAAGUCCUGAAACCAGUAACUGAGGCGUUGGUGUUUUCUCUCCUUGAGACUCCUUCUGUCCUUUGA